CAGCCCUAAACGAUGCGCGUUAGGUGUAUCGGUGACCACGAGUCACCGAGGUGCCGAAGGGAAACCGUGAAACGUGCCGCCUGGAAGUACGGUCGCAAGGCUGAAACUUAAAGGAAAUUGGCGGGGGGAGGCACCACAACGGGUGGAGCCUGCGGUUUAAUUGGACUCAACGCCGGGAAGCUCACCGGAUAAGACAGCGGAAUGAUUGCCGGGCUGAAGACCCUGCAUGACCAGCUGAGAGGAGGUGCAUGGCGUAGUCGUGU
RNAcentral lists this ribosomal RNA (263 nucleotides) under uncultured archaeon. RNAcentral's name for it is "partial 16S ribosomal RNA". It matches the Rfam family "Archaeal small subunit ribosomal RNA", at positions 748 to 1009 of the family's 1478-position model. The record is from RNAcentral.